RNAcentral lists this ribosomal RNA (253 nucleotides) under uncultured bacterium. Its description in RNAcentral is "partial 16S ribosomal RNA". It matches the Rfam family "Bacterial small subunit ribosomal RNA", at positions 524 to 776 of the family's 1533-position model. The record is from RNAcentral.
UACGGGGGGGGUAAGCGUUGUUCGGAAUUACUGGGCGUAAAGGGCUCGUAGGCGGCCAACUAAGUCAUACGUGAAAUCCCUCAGCUUAACUGGGGAACUGCGUGUGAUACUGGAUGGCUUGGAUUUGUGAGAGGGAUGCGGAAUUCCAGGUGUAGCGGUGAAAUGCGUAGAUAUCUGGAGGAACACCGGUGGCGAAGGCGGCAUCCUGGACCAAUAUUGACGCUGAGGAGCGAAAGCCAGGGGAGCAAACGGG